RNAcentral lists this microRNA precursor (87 nucleotides) under Chlorocebus sabaeus (green monkey). RNAcentral describes it as "miRNA (ENSCSAG00000020079.1)". The record is from RNAcentral. Lineage: Eukaryota; Metazoa; Chordata; Mammalia; Primates; Cercopithecidae.
UUCUAUUAGGUUGGUGCAAAUGUCAUUGUGGUUUUUGCUGUUGUUUUUAAUGGCAAAAACUGAGAUGACAUUUGCACCAACCUAAUA